This 534-nucleotide ribosomal RNA is filed under the name Triticum aestivum (bread wheat). Its description in RNAcentral is "partial small subunit ribosomal RNA". Lineage: Eukaryota; Viridiplantae; Streptophyta; Magnoliopsida; Poales; Poaceae. The record is from RNAcentral.
AUGGCAGAACUAGGCCUCCGAGAGGAGGACCUUGAUGAUGUGGUUUUCGAUGAGAACGAGGCCCCAGCUGGGGCAGCGUGGUGGAUAGCGCUCGUCAGGGUUCACUCCACCAAAACCUACAGCCAGUAUUGGUUCUUCAAGAACAUGCGCGCUGCAUGGGAUCUCGCCCGGGAGGUUCAGUUUAAACCGUUGGAAGAUAACCUGUAUACGGUGCAGUUUUCAUGUCUAGGCGAUUGGGAAAGAGUAACCCGUGAUGAUCCAUGGCACUUCCGGGGAGACGCGGUGAUCCUAAAACCAUAUGAUGGCUUGGCAAAGCCAUCUACAGUUCAGCUCGACACCAUCGAAAUAUGGGUACAGAUCCAUGAUGUACCACCCCUGUAUGCUCAUCUAGUGCCCUCUCUAGCUUCAAAGGUGGGCGAGGUUCUAUAUGCCGAACCACAAUCGCAAGACUUUGCGGGAAAUUUUCACCGCGUCUGGAUCCGGAGUCUCGAUGAUAAGGGAAGGAAAGCGCCAGAUAUACAGGUUAAAAUAUGA